CCUACGGGAGGCAGCAGUGAGGAAUAUUGGUCAAUGGACGAGAGUCUGAACCAGCCAAGUAGCGUGAAGGAUGACUGCCCUAUGGGUUGUAAACUUCUUUUAUAUGGGAAUAAAAUGUUCCACGUGUGGGAUUUUGUAUGUACCAUAUGAAUAAGGAUCGGCUAACUCCGUGCCAGCAGCCGCGGUAAUACGGAGGAUCCGAGCGUUAUCCGGAUUUAUUGGGUGUAAAGGGAGAGUAGGUGGAUUGUUAAGUGAGUUGUGAAAGUUUGCGGCUCAACCGUAAAAUUGCAGUUGAAACUGGCAGUCUUGAGUACAGUAGAGGUGGGCGGAAUUCGUGGUGUAGCGGUGAAAUGCUUAGAUAUCACGAAGAACUCCGAUUGCGAAGGCAGUUCACUGGACUGCAACUGACACUGAGGCUCGAAAGUGUGGGUAUCAAACAGGAUUAGAUACCCCAGUAGUC
This 460-nucleotide ribosomal RNA is filed under the name uncultured bacterium. RNAcentral describes it as "partial 16S ribosomal RNA". It matches the Rfam family "Bacterial small subunit ribosomal RNA", at positions 338 to 795 of the family's 1533-position model. The record is from RNAcentral.